Molecule: long non-coding RNA, 1041 nt
Filed under: Dermacentor andersoni
Lineage: Eukaryota; Metazoa; Arthropoda; Arachnida; Ixodida; Ixodidae
Description: uncharacterized LOC126521887
Source: RNAcentral
CUCAUCCUUUCUCUGAUUGCAACCAGAUCCCACAAGUCGUGGUGACAUGUGGCAAUCUCCAGUUCAUGAUUGGUUGGCUCCACUACAACAGCACGAUCCCUUCAACCACGCCCAUCAGCACAACUGAUUAGAGAUGAAGGCACUGCACUUAAUGUGGGCGGUAGUGGUGCAUGCCGCCAGUCUUACACGGCACAGAAUGCAAACCAUGUGCUGCAUACUAUAGUACUACUAUAAUACUAAUACUAUACUAAUACUGUUAACCUUGUUUGUAAACAAACAAUGAUUAGCUGGCACUUAUGAGUUCCUGAUGUGAUUGUUAUUGUUAGUACACCUGGUUCUGUCAAUUCUGUUAAACACAAUAUUUGGAACAAAUUUUAGCUUUUGACCAAGUAAUGAACGUUUCCUGUCCUAUUGUAGUAGAUCUAGCGAGAUGUUUGUUGUGCAGCUUUGAAAGCAUUACUCUAUUGCUCAUUAUUGUUACUCAUCGUGACACCUGACAGGGCCCUGUAACAAAUUUGUAAGAUGUGUAGCAGUCUGGUACGUUAUUGUACAAUUGUGGUAAUCACUCAAAUACUCUCUGGUCUGUAUGGACAGUGUUUCUGUGACAAGACACACGUCCAAUGAUUUGCUGAGAGAUUGGUCACAAAAAAAAGUAAGUUUGGCAAUUAUUUGAGUCACUGUAGGAUAAUUCUAUAAAAGGGUUGUAAAACAGGUAAAGACAUCGUCUUGGCAACGAGGUGGUAGCAUCCUCAACGAAGAGGCUCCUGCAGCUGGCGUCUACGCAGCCACACAAUCUACACUCGGGUCACCCGAUAAAGGCCAUCAAGUUCCAACAUUUUGCGGCACAUUUAUCAAAACAUGCAAAGGCAUAGUACAGUGCGACUGAUUUUGGUAUCUGAACUCUACAACACGAUGUGACCGUGUCUCAGAGGUGGUGUCCUAGUUCUUUGUCUGCAUUAGUUACGUUCUCCUAUAUACCUGUGUGCAUGUUUUUUGUCCUGUUUUUUGCUCUUUCAUAUUCAAUAAAGUACAAGAAAAUGA